Long non-coding RNA from Strongylocentrotus purpuratus (purple sea urchin), 599 nucleotides. RefSeq lists it as uncharacterized. The record is from RefSeq and is a predicted model, not a curated record. NCBI's taxonomy places the organism in Eukaryota, Metazoa, Echinodermata, Echinoidea, Camarodonta, Strongylocentrotidae. The transcript has 3 exons.
CUAACUAGUCUGCUAGCAGAAUAGGAUUCACCGAAAUCUGAUGCUUAAACUUCGAGUCUGCGUGGAACUGAUGGAGUUUAUCCAGGAUAGCCUUGUCCCGUAGAACAGGGACAAAUCUACUAACUUGACUGAUAUCAAAAGGAGAAAGAAUUCGGUACCAAGGAGAGGCACUUCGGUGAAAAUGAAAUAGGGCAGCAGGUGGUGGCGGGGAAAAUGUUGGCAGUGUCGGAACCUGGACUUGUACACACCAUGGAUAUGGGAGACAUCCCAUUAGCUGAGCUUGUGAUUCAGAUACGUUCACGCCCAAUGACCGAUGAUACUAAGUUUGACUGCCCACGGACUGACAGCCUAAAAAUGCUCCUAACAGAGUUGAAAUGCCUAUCAGAGGUCCAGCAAGGAUGUAAUGUCCCAUACAUUGACCCCUUUUGAUUGAAGACCAGCCAACUGAAUGCUCACAGAUUGGUGGUUAGUUAUUCCUCAUUCUAUUUUUUUUUGUAGCUAACAAAGAUAUACAUUUAGCCUAUGUUAAUGUAACUAGAUACGUGUAUAAUACUGAGUAUUUUAAUUGGUUUUGAAGUUUGACAUACAUACUUGAAAAU